RNAcentral lists this long non-coding RNA (499 nucleotides) under Cicer arietinum (chickpea). RNAcentral describes it as "long non-coding RNA (CARI_LNC003466)". Lineage: Eukaryota; Viridiplantae; Streptophyta; Magnoliopsida; Fabales; Fabaceae. The record is from RNAcentral.
GGCUCAUUUGGUGUUGAAACUUCAGGCUCCUGUGUCAACAGUAAAGUUACUUUCACCCAUAUCCUGAUAGCGUAUUCGAGAAGGAAACAUGCUAAAAAGAAUUACGCUUCUACAAAACUUGGGAAUAUCUUUGGAAGAAACGAACCAGCUGCCCUUGUCAUAUACCUGCAUCUCCAAAAUCAACAACUUAAAAGAAAUUCAAUUGCAAAACUGCUACAAAACAAAUUUGACCUUUCUACAUUUGAAGCCAUAAGCUGAAUCAAGUGAAAAAGCAACAGGUGCAAGGAUACAUGCUAAAGUUGGACAAAUAUAAUAACUUUAUGUUCAUAAAGUUUAAAACAACAUUUGCUAUUUAAACCAUCAACGUGUAAGUGUGGGCACAUUAGUAGGCAUCCAACUGAUUGAAUAUCAGAAUUUGAUUAGAAUUAUUUACUAUCAGAACAUUCCAAACAAUCACAAAUCAGUAAAAUAGUCAAAAGUUGGAAUUACAAGAGGCAUA